This 492-nucleotide ribosomal RNA is filed under the name uncultured bacterium. RNAcentral describes it as "partial 16S ribosomal RNA". It matches the Rfam family "Bacterial small subunit ribosomal RNA", at positions 30 to 507 of the family's 1533-position model. The record is from RNAcentral.
AGUGAACGCUGGCGGUAGGCCUAACACAUGCAAGUCGAACGGCAGCACAGUAAGAGCUUGCUCUUACGGGUGGCGAGUGGCGGACGGGUGAGGAAUACAUCGGAAUCUACUUUUUCGUGGGGGAUAACGUAGGGAAACUUACGCUAAUACCGCAUACGACCUACGGGUGAAAGCAGGGGAUCUUCGGACCUUGCGCGAUUGAAUGAGCCGAUGUCGGAUUAGCUAGUUGGCGGGGUAAAGGCCCACCAAGGCGACGAUCCGUAGCUGGUCUGAGAGGAUGGUCGGCGGCAUGGGAGCUGAGACGCGGUCCAGAGUCCUACGGGAGGCAGCAGUGGGGAAUGUGGGGCAAUGGGCGCAAGCCUGAUACAGCGAGACCGCGUGGGUGAAAAAGGCCUUCGGGUCGUAAAGCCCGUUUGUUGGGAAAGAAAAGCAGCAGGUUAAUACCCCGCUGUAGUGACGGUACCGAAAGAAUAAGCACCGGCUAACUUCGUG